Molecule: long non-coding RNA, 126 nt
Organism: Gavialis gangeticus (Gharial)
Lineage: Eukaryota; Metazoa; Chordata; Crocodylia; Gavialidae
Exons: 3
Source: RefSeq, a predicted model, not a curated record
UGUGCUCUCAUUGGCUCACAGAAACAGCCAAUCGGAGUGCUCCAAGCAUCGGGGAGCGCUGCCAUGAUUCCGAAGCCGUGCCGAGGACCAGACCGAGGGUGGGGGAGCUGGUUUCAGCUCCCUGCA